AACGAACGCUGGCGGCAGGCCUAACACAUGCAAGUCGAGCGAAGCCUUCGGGCUUAGCGGCGGACGGGUGAGUAACGCGUGGGAACGUGCCCUUUGCUACGGAAUAGCCCCGGGAAACUGGGAGUAAUACCGUAUGUGCCCUUCGGGGGAAAGAUUUAUCGGCAAAGGAUCGGCCCGCGUUGGAUUAGGUAGUUGGUGGGGUAAUGGCCUACCAAGCCGACGAUCCAUAGCUGGUUUGAGAGGAUGAUCAGCCACACUGGGACUGAGACACGGCCCAGACUCCUACGGGAGGCAGCAGUGGGGAAUCUUAGACAAUGGGGGAAACCCUGAUCUAGCCAUGCCGCGUGAUCGAUGAAGGCCUUAGGGUUGUAAAGAUCUUUCAGUGGGGAAGAUAAUGACUGUACCCACAGAAGAAGCCCCGGCUAACUCCGUGCCAGCAGCCGCCGUAA
This 449-nucleotide ribosomal RNA is filed under the name uncultured bacterium. Its description in RNAcentral is "partial 16S ribosomal RNA". It matches the Rfam family "Bacterial small subunit ribosomal RNA", at positions 29 to 523 of the family's 1533-position model. The record is from RNAcentral.